UGUGCGAACGUCACUUCGAAGAAAUGUGUCUAGGAGGGGGACACUAUUUCACAAGCUUCAACGGGGCACGAAGAUACUGGGCAUGUGUAGGACCCUGAUGGUGUUGCGAGAGAACUGUUGAAAUGCAGUGGCUCCUAAAUUCAGGAUCACAGCUUCGAAAUUACACGGUGUAACAAUGCUGGAUCGUAUAUCACACACCGGGGGACAGGAGUUGUUGCUUACUCAAGGGAGAGAGAUACAUCAGUCGGCACUACUUACACGUGAUAAAUGGUGAGGUGGUACUACUGACGGGAGGAGUGCCUUUUCUGGAUCCGCGCGCAGCUCCGACAAUCCUUGGCGCCAAUGAUGCCAGAAAGCGUGAUGCUGGCCCCAGCCAUGGCCAAGGACCACCGGAGAAGUUAUGCCGUCCAACCCGUGAUACAUCAGUCUUACUGGAGACAGAACCCACGGUAAACGUCGAGACGGCCGAAAAUCUCGAGGCUUCACCUCCGAACACCAAGAAGAGAUGCCAUUUCACGAAUAGCCUUGUGUGCCCUUCUCCGGCUUGGUGUUGUAUUCGUCCGACGAAUAUUGACGACACAGUGCUCUUCGCCACCUUUGUUGCAAGUGGACAGACCGCUUUUCCUGUGGAAUUUGAGAAAUGCGUGGAGUUCUCGGCAAAUGAGGAAAGUGCAACUUGUAGAACAUUCAUAGGCACUACGCUACAUGCAGAAACGAUACUACCGUCAGCAGCUGAAGCCAACGCGGUGUUGCGGAACUUAGAUGACAUAGUAACUUGCAAAGGCGCAGGCACGUUGGAAGGCUACUCUUCUGUCAAAAUUGACACAGCCAAAUUCAGGAUGAGCGGCAGAACAAUCAGGUCAGGACGCUGCAAUGGAGUGACAGGAAAUACUGGCAAGCCGAGCGUGGCCUGAAAAUACACGAGGGCGAUGCUUCAGCAGCGGGUAUGCCGACUGAGGACCCAGA
Long non-coding RNA from Ornithodoros turicata, 966 nucleotides. RefSeq lists it as uncharacterized. NCBI's taxonomy places the organism in Eukaryota, Metazoa, Arthropoda, Arachnida, Ixodida, Argasidae. The record is from RefSeq and is a predicted model, not a curated record. The transcript is spliced from 3 exons.